RNAcentral lists this long non-coding RNA (360 nucleotides) under Solanum tuberosum (potato). Its description in RNAcentral is "long non-coding RNA (STUB_LNC011337)". The record is from RNAcentral. Lineage: Eukaryota; Viridiplantae; Streptophyta; Magnoliopsida; Solanales; Solanaceae.
GGAGCAGGACAACGAAAGGGAGCGGGAGCCGGGGAAGAGGGAUUGGGAGUGGGACUAGUAGCCGACGGUGGCUCAGUUUCAUCAUCAUCAUAUUCAUCAACAUUAUUAUCAAAACUAUCAACAUAAGCAUUAACAUCAUCAUGUUCAUCAUCUUCAGGUAAUUCCUCUUCAAAAUUACCAAAUCUUCUUUGUAAAUGUUCAUGAUAAGGAUCUAAUCCACUAUUACUAUCAAUAUUAAAAACAGUUUCAUCAACAUGCGUAUAAUCAUCCGUAUUUAUUCUUAAUUGAGAAGUUUUUUUAGUUUUAGAUUGAGAAGUACUACCGAUUUUUUUAUUUUUCUUGGAUUUUGAGCUCCAUAAA